This is a transfer RNA of Cavia porcellus (domestic guinea pig), 71 nucleotides long. It matches the Rfam family "tRNA". From Rfam's summary of the family: Transfer RNA (tRNA) molecules are approximately 80 nucleotides in length. Their secondary structure includes four short double-helical elements and three loops (D, anti-codon, and T loops). NCBI's taxonomy places the organism in Eukaryota, Metazoa, Chordata, Mammalia, Rodentia, Caviidae. The record is from Rfam.
GGGAAUUUAGCUCAGCGGCAUAAGCACCUGCCUUGCAAGCAUGAGGUCAUGAAUUCGAUUCAUGGUUCCAA